Long non-coding RNA from Gadus chalcogrammus (walleye pollock), 1953 nucleotides. RefSeq lists it as uncharacterized. NCBI's taxonomy places the organism in Eukaryota, Metazoa, Chordata, Actinopteri, Gadiformes, Gadidae. The transcript is spliced from 4 exons. The record is from RefSeq and is a predicted model, not a curated record.
UGCAGAGUUUCAAGAUCUGCAAACAACUGUCGUGACAUCUGUAAGUUGAUAUCAUUUCAAACUUGAAGUCUUUUACGUUGCCCUCUUUUGCCUCUCGUCCUUCGAUACCCUUGCGAUGCAUUCCAUAUUACUUGAGACGUCAUUUUUCUGAACCUUUAACUUCAGAGGGAUUUGCAUUGAUUCCAUCCAUUUUUAAGGGGUUGUCCAUCUUUUAAAAUUGUGUAUGCUGUUCCCAUAGUGCGAUGCGAUCUUCCUGGAGGCCUAUGGGUCGAUUUUCAUCACCACCCUUGUCCUUGGAUUCAGGUAAAUGAUCCUUCUUAAAUAACCAAAUUUUCCAUAUGAAUAUAGGUCCUUUUGACAAAUUUCAAUCAUUGUUCUAAUUUCUGAAAAGUAGCAAUUUUACCGAUGUAGUUUAGGGUCAAUCACAACGCACAAUGAUAAAGGCUAAUUGAAACGAUCUAAACAAUACUAUUCAGAUCCAGGCACCAUAGGGUCAAAGAAUAAGUUCUGUUGUAUGCAUUAUAAGCUAAACAUGAUGGUAUAUGUUCCCGAACUGUAAGCUAGAGCAUCAAGCUUUCAAGUUGUAUUCAAGUUGAAUGGUCUCAUAAUGAUGGCAAUCUGUUUUUCAGCCCGUCCAUCGAUGGAAACACUACAAUAGAGGUGGAGCUUGUUUUCAAUAACACAGCAUCACCUGAAGUGACCGUUUCAACUGCCGAUGUACUGGAGACCAUGACGACGGCAGCAACCAACACCUCCGCUGGCGGAAUCUCCUUUGAUCCUGAAUCUAUUGUUGUCACAGAAACGCCAACCCCAACGACAGCACCAACAACAACUACGGCAACUCCAGAACCCUCAGUUCCUACUGUGUCUUUCACGGUAGAGGCUACAAUAUCAAAGCCUUUCACUCCAGAGUUAACAGACCAAACGACUGCAGAGUUUCAAGAUCUGCAAACAACUGUUGUGACAUCUGUAAGUUGAUAUCAUUUCAAACUUGAAGUCUUUUACGUUGCCCUCUUUUGCCUCUCGUCCUUCGAUACCCUUGCGAUGCAUUCCAUAUUACUUGAGACGUCAUUUUUCCGAACCUUUAACUUCAGAGGGAUUUGCAUUGAUUCCAUCCAUUUUUAAGGGGUUGUCCAUCUUUUAAAAUUGUGUAUGCUGUUCCCAUAGUGCGAUGCGAUCUUCCUGGAGGCCUAUGGGUCGAUUUUCAUCACCACCCUUGUCCUUGGAUUCAGGUAAAUGAUCCUUCUUAAAUAACCAAAUUUUCCAUAUGAAUAUAGGUCCUUUUGACAAAUUUCAAUCAUUGUUCUAAUUUCUGAAAAGUAGCAAUUUUACCGAUGUAGUUUAGGGUCAAUCACAACGCACAAUGAUAAAGGCUAAUUGAAACGAUCUAAACAAUACUAUUCAGAUCCAGGCACCAUAGGGUCAAAGAAUAAGUUCUGUUGUAUGCAUUAUAAGCUAAACAUGAUGGUAUAUGUUCCCGAACUGUAAGCUAGAGCAUCAAGCUUUCAAGUUGUAUUCAAGUUGAAUGGUCUCAUAAUGAUGGCAAUCUGUUUUUCAGCCCGUCCAUCGAUGGAAACACUACAAUAGAGGUGGAGCUUGUUUUCAAUAACACAGCAUCACCUGAAGUGACCGUUUCAACUGCCGAUGUACUGGAGACCAUGACGACGGCAGCAACCAACACCUCCGCUGGCGGAAUCUCCUUUGAUCCUGAAUCUAUUGUUGUCACAGAAACACCAACCUCAACGACAGCACCAACAACUACGGCAACUCCAGAACCCUCAGUUUCUACUGUGUCUUUCACGGUAGAGGCUACAAUAUCAAAGCCUUUCACUGCAGAGUUAACAGACCAAACGACUACAGAGUUUCAAGAUCUGCAAACAACUGUUGUGACAUCUUGCGAUGCGAUCUUCCUGGAGGCCUAUGGGUCGAUUUUCAUCACCACCCUUGUCCUUG